GACGAACGCUGGCGGCGCGCUUAACACAUGCAAGUCGAACGCUGAAGCUCAGCUUUUGUUGGGUGGAUGAGUGGCGAACGGGUGAGUAACACGUGAGUAACCUGCCUCCUUCUUUGGGAUAACGCCCGGAAACGGGUGCUAAUACUGGAUAUUCACUGGUCUUCGCAUGGGGGUUGGUGGAAAGGGUUUUUCUGGUGGGGGAUGGGCUCGCGGCCUAUCAGCUUGUUGGUGGGGUGAUGGCCUACCAAGGCUUUGACGGGUAGCCGGCCUGAGAGGGUGACCGGUCACAUUGGGACUGAGAUACGGCCCAGACUCCUACGGGAGGCAGCAGUGGGGAAUAUUGCACAAUGGGCGCAAGCCUGAUGCAGCGACGCCGCGUGAGGGAUGGAGGCCUUCGGGUUGUGAACCUCUUUCGCUCAUGGUCAAGCCGCAACAAUGGUUGUGGUGAGGGUAGUGGGUAAAGAAGCGCCGGCUAACUACGUG
RNAcentral lists this ribosomal RNA (483 nucleotides) under uncultured bacterium. RNAcentral describes it as "partial 16S ribosomal RNA". It matches the Rfam family "Bacterial small subunit ribosomal RNA", at positions 28 to 507 of the family's 1533-position model. The record is from RNAcentral.